RNAcentral lists this transfer RNA (72 nucleotides) under Bacteroidota bacterium. Its description in RNAcentral is "Bacteroidetes bacterium (chicken gut metagenome) tRNA-Gly". It matches the Rfam family "tRNA". From Rfam's summary of the family: Transfer RNA (tRNA) molecules are approximately 80 nucleotides in length. Their secondary structure includes four short double-helical elements and three loops (D, anti-codon, and T loops). Further hydrogen bonds mediate the characteristic L-shaped molecular structure. tRNAs have two regions of fundamental functional importance: the anti-codon, which is responsible for specific mRNA codon recognition, and the 3' end, to which the tRNAs corresponding amino acid is attached (by aminoacyl-tRNA synthetases). tRNAs cope with the degeneracy of the genetic code in two manners: having more than one tRNA (with a specific anti-codon) for a particular amino acid; and 'wobble' base-pairing, i.e. permitting non-standard base-pairing at the 3rd anti-codon position. The record is from RNAcentral. Lineage: Bacteria; Pseudomonadati; Bacteroidota. RNAcentral also lists the same sequence under 5 other names.
GCGGAAAUAGCUCAGUGGUAGAGCACCACCUUGCCAAGGUGGGGGUCGCGGGUCCGAAUCCCGUUUUCCGCU